This 1019-nucleotide ribosomal RNA is filed under the name Alternariaster helianthi. Its description in RNAcentral is "SSU rRNA". It matches the Rfam family "Eukaryotic small subunit ribosomal RNA", at positions 75 to 1104 of the family's 1831-position model. The record is from RNAcentral. Lineage: Eukaryota; Fungi; Ascomycota; Dothideomycetes; Pleosporales; Leptosphaeriaceae.
UAUACCGUGAAACUGCGAAUGGCUCAUUAAAUCAGUUAUCGUUUAUUUGAUAGUACCUUACUACUUGGAUAACCGUGGUAAUUCUAGAGCUAAUACAUGCUAAAAACCCCAACUUCGGAAGGGGUGUAUUUAUUAGAUAAAAAACCAACGCCCUUCGGGGCUUCUUGGUGAUUCAUGAUAACUUUACGGAUCGCAUGGCCUUGCGCCGGCGACGGUUCAUUCAAAUUUCUGCCCUAUCAACUUUCGAUGGUAAGGUAUUGGCUUACCAUGGUUUCAACGGGUAACGGGGAAUUAGGGUUCGAUUCCGGAGAGGGAGCCUGAGAAACGGCUACCACAUCCAAGGAAGGCAGCAGGCGCGCAAAUUACCCAAUCCCGACACGGGGAGGUAGUGACAAUAAAUACUGAUACAGGGCUCUUUUGGGUCUUGUAAUUGGAAUGAGUACAAUUUAAACCUCUUAACGAGGAACAAUUGGAGGGCAAGUCUGGUGCCAGCAGCCGCGGUAAUUCCAGCUCCAAUAGCGUAUAUUAAAGUUGUUGCAGUUAAAAAGCUCGUAGUUGAAACUUGGGUCUGGCUGGCAGGUCCGCCUCACCGCGUGUACUUGUCCGGCCGGGCCUUCCUUCUGGAGAACCUCAUGCCCUUCACUGGGCGUGUUGGGGACCAGGACUUUUACUUUGAAAAAAUUAGAGUGUUCAAAGCAGGCCUUUGCUCGAAUACGUUAGCAUGGAAUAAUAGAAUAGGACGUGCGGUCCUAUUUUGUUGGUUUCUAGGACCGCCGUAAUGAUUAAUAGGGACAGUCGGGGGCAUCAGUAUUCAAUUGUCAGAGGUGAAAUUCUUGGAUUUAUUGAAGACUAACUACUGCGAAAGCAUUUGCCAAGGAUGUUUUCAUUAAUCAGUGAACGAAAGUUAGGGGAUCGAAGACGAUCAGAUACCGUCGUAGUCUUAACCGUAAACUAUGCCGACUAGGGAUCGGGCGAUGUUCUUUUUCUGACUCGCUCGGCACCUUACGAGAAAUCAAAGU